UCUUAGGGAAUGGGUGUCACGGUCCAGGUUACGGGCAGUCGGAGUCCUGGCUUGGUACGUCGGGACCGGGGUAGAGGUUGGGAAACAGGAAUCAGCAGUCCAAGGGCCAGGAAGUCAAGAGUCCACGAGUCAGGAAGCCAAGGGUCCAAGAGUCAGGAAACUAGGAGCCAGGAAGCCAAGGGUCCAGGAGUCAGGAUACCAGCAGUCAGGAAGCCAAGGGUCCAGGAGUCAGGCUACCAGCAGUCAGGAAGCCAAGAGUCCAGGAAUCAGGAUACCAGCAGUCAGGAAGCUGAAGCACAGCUAGGUGGGUAGCAUGUUGCUGUGGCAAAGAGCCAGAGGGAAAUGCUGGUCUUAUAUACCCCUCCCGGCCCUUGCCACCAGGUGCUCCGAGUCUUCUGUCAAGCCUCACCUGUGCGGCCGCACCUUGCCCUUCCAGGCCAAACUCAGGAAGACCCCAGUCCUGCGAGGCCCUACAAGUCACAGGGCCUGGCUCCUGCAUGCACUCCUGACAAUGG
This is a non-coding RNA of Podarcis lilfordi (Lilford's wall lizard), 515 nucleotides long. The record is from the annotation of a GenBank genome assembly. NCBI's taxonomy places the organism in Eukaryota, Metazoa, Chordata, Lepidosauria, Squamata, Lacertidae.